This is an RNA transcript of Lolium rigidum, 2517 nucleotides long. It is a transcript of the gene named pentatricopeptide repeat-containing protein At1g11290, chloroplastic-like, with no coding region annotated. The record is from RefSeq and is a predicted model, not a curated record. Lineage: Eukaryota; Viridiplantae; Streptophyta; Magnoliopsida; Poales; Poaceae. The transcript has 2 exons.
AUGCUCUGCUCGGCCUCGCCGCUGCCGUCUCCUCCCGCCGGCGGGACGGCCGCUUCCGACCACCACGCACGUCUGAGGGCCGCCGCUGCGCGCUCCGACCUUCCGGGCGCGCUCGCCGCGUUCGUCGCCAUGUCCUCCUACGCACCCGCCUCCGCGGCCGGCCCAGUCCUCCGCACGUUCACCUCCCUCCUCAAGCUCUGCGCGGCGCGCUCUGACCUCGCUACGGGCCGCACCGUGCACGCCCAGCUCGCCACGCGCGGGCUCGUGGCGGAGGCCCUCGCGGCGACGGCGCUCGCCAACAUGUACGCCAAGUGCCGCCGGCCUGGCGACGCGCGCAGAGUGUUCGACCGGAUGCCCGUGCGGGACCGCGUCGCCUGGAACGCGCUCGUCGCCGGGUACGCGCGGAACGGGCUCGCCGGGGCUGCGAUGGAGAUGGUCGUCAGGAUGCAGGAGGAGGAUGCGGAGAGGCCUGACUCCGUCACGCUCGUGUCCGUGCUGCCUGCCUGCGCCGACGCCCAGGCACUCGGGGCCUGCCGCGAGGUGCACGCGUUUGCGGUCCGUGGUGGAUUCGAUGAGCUCGUCAAUGUCUCCACUGCGAUCCUUGACGUGUACUGCAAGUGCGGGGCGGUCGAGGCGGCGCGGGCUGUCUUUGAUCAGAUGCCAAUCAAAAACUCCGUGUCUUGGAAUGCGAUGAUUAAGGGGUAUGCUGAAAAUGGGAAUUCCACAGAGGCUCUGGCUCUGUUCAAAAGGAUGGUGGGAGAGGGCGUAGAAGUGACUGAUGUGUCUAUAUUGGCAGCAUUGCAUGCUUGUGGCGAGCUCGGGUUUCUCGAUGAGGGGAGGCGCGUCCAUGAGCUACUUGUGAGGAUUGGGCUUGACUCCAAUGUGUCGGUGAUGAAUGCGCUGAUCACCAUGUACUGCAAAUGCAAGAGGACCGACCUUGCUGCCCAGGUGUUCGAUGAGUUGCGCUACAAGACACGCAUCUCAUGGAAUUCCAUGAUACUCGGGUGCACGCAGAAUGGAAGGUCAGAUGAUGCGGUGAGGCUCUUCUCUAGGAUGCAGCUGGAAAAUGUGAAACCUGAUUCGUUCACUCUCGUCAGUGUCAUUCCUGCUCUUGCAGACAUUUCAGAUCCACUGCAGGCAAGAUGGAUCCAUGGAUACUCUAUCAGGCUGCACCUGGAUCAGGAUGUGUAUGUUCUCACUGCCCUUAUUGACAUGUACGCCAAAUGUGGCCGUGUUGGCAUUGCUAGAAAUCUCUUCAAUUCAGCAAGGGAGAGGCAUGUUAUCACAUGGAAUGCAAUGAUCCAUGGGUACGGCUCACAUGGUUUUGGCAAGGUCGCAGUUGAGCUGUUUGAACAGAUGAAGAGCACUGGCAGAGUACCCAAUGAGACAACCUUCCUGUCGGUCCUCUCAGCGUGCAGCCAUGCUGGUUUGGUUGAUGAAGGAAGGAAAUAUUUUUCGAGCAUGAAGGAGGACUAUGGGCUGGAGCCUGGGAUGGAGCACUAUGGUACCAUUGUGGAUCUGCUUGGCAGAGCUGGGAAGCUAGAUGAAGCAUGGUCUUUCAUCCAAAAGAUGCCUAUUGAUCCUGGCAUUAGUGUAUAUGGUGCAAUGUUAGGUGCUUGCAAGUUACAUAAGAACGUGGAGUUAGCAGAAGAAUCAGCCAACAGGAUCUUUGAGCUAGGGCCAGAAGAGGGGGUCUACCAUGUCCUCCUAGCGAAUAUUUAUGCAAAUGCUUCAAUGUGGAAGGAUGUUGCAAGGGUUAGAACUGCUAUGGAGAAGAAAGGACUCCAAAAGAGUCCCGGAUGGAGUAUUGUUCAGCUCAAAAAUGAGAUUCAUACGUUCUAUUCCGGAAGCACAAAUCACCAGCAGGCAAAGGAUAUAUAUGCAAGGUUGGCUAAGCUAAUAGAUGAGAUAAAAGCUGUGGGUUAUGUGCCAGACACUGAUUCUAUACAUGAUGUAGAAGAUGAUGUCAAGGCACAGUUGCUCAACACCCAUAGUGAGAAGCUCGCAAUUGCAUAUGGGCUCAUUCGCACAGCCCCUGGUACAACAAUUCAGAUAAAGAAGAACCUGCGAGUCUGUAAUGACUGUCACAAUGCAACCAAGUUAAUAUCUCUAGUGACAGGACGGGAAAUUAUCAUGAGAGAUAUUCAACGAUUUCACCAUUUUAAGGACGGUAAAUGUUCAUGUGGAGACUACUGGUAGUGAAGUUUUGAAGGCAGGCCAAAUAAGUUUUUUGAGAUGACAGAACUUCAUGCAGCUAAUGCAAGUAGGACUGUAAGAUCACAGUAUCAGAAUAUCAGGUGAACAUAACUAAUUGGCACCGAUGAACUCGACUGCCACUUUAAGUGCGUUGAUAGAUGCGAGGUUCAUCAGGCUUGUUGAUGACCACGUUGGUUCCCCUCCAGCCAGAUCAGAUACUCCCCGGAAAACAAUCACAGGUACGCCAGGAGAUGUUGCUGUCUGUUGAAAUAGUGAGUAGGUUCUCUUAGUGAUAUCUUCAAAAAAUUGAUUGAACUGAAA